This 77-nucleotide transfer RNA is filed under the name Gammaproteobacteria bacterium. RNAcentral's name for it is "tRNA-Arg". It matches the Rfam family "tRNA". Rfam says of the family: Transfer RNA (tRNA) molecules are approximately 80 nucleotides in length. Lineage: Bacteria; Pseudomonadati; Pseudomonadota; Gammaproteobacteria. RNAcentral also lists the same sequence under 1 other name. The record is from RNAcentral.
GCGCUUGUAGCUCAGCAGGAUAGAGCAGCCGCCUCCUAAGCGGCAGGUCGGACGUUCAAAUCGUCUCAAGCGCGCCA